RNAcentral lists this ribosomal RNA (433 nucleotides) under uncultured bacterium. RNAcentral's name for it is "partial 16S ribosomal RNA". It matches the Rfam family "Bacterial small subunit ribosomal RNA", at positions 29 to 507 of the family's 1533-position model. The record is from RNAcentral.
AACGAACGCUGGCGGCAUGCCUAACACAUGCAAGUCGAACGAGACCUUCGGGUCUAGUGGCGCACGGGUGCGUAACGCGUGGGAACCUGCCCUUAGGUUCGGAAUAACUCCCCGAAAGGGGUGCUAAUACCGGAUAAUGUCUUCGGACCAAAGAUUUAUCGCCUUUGGAUGGGUCCGCGUUGGAUUAGCUAGUUGGUAGGGUAAAAGCCUACCAAGGCGACGAUCCAUAGCUGGUCUGAGAGGAUGAUCAGCCACACUGGGACUGAGACACGGCCCAGACUCCUACGGGAGGCAGCAGUGGGGAAUAUUGGACAAUGGGCGAAAGACUGAUACAGAAAUGCCGCGUGAGUGAUGAAGGCCUUAGGGUUGUAAAGCUCUUUUACCCGGGAUGAUAAUGACAGUACCGGGAGAAUAAGCUCCGGCUAACUCCGUG